GGAGUUAGCCGGUGCUUCUUCUGCGAGUAACGUCACAGAUGUAAGGUAUUAACUUACACCCUUUCCUCCUCGCUGAAAGUGCUUUACAACCCGAAGGCCUUCUUCACACACGCGGCAUGGCUGCAUCAGGGUUUCCCCCAUUGUGCAAUAUUCCCCACUGCUGCCUCCCGUAGGAGUCUGGGCCGUGUCUCAGUCCCAGUGUGGCUGAUCAUCCUCUCAGACCAGCUAGGGAUCGUCGCCUAGGUGAGCCUUUACCUCACCUACUAGCUAAUCCCACCUGGGCUUAUCCAUCAGCGCAAGGCCCGAAGGUCCCCUGCUUUCCCCCGUACGGGCGUAUGCGGUAUUAGCAGUCGUUUCCAACUGUUAUCCCCCACCAAAUGGGCAAAUUCCCAGGCAUUACUCACCCGUCCGCCGCUCGUCAUCUUCAAAAGACAAGCUUUUGAAAAUAGUUACCGCUCGACUUGCAUGUGUUAGGCCUGCCGCCAGCGUUCAAUACUGAGCCAGGAUCAAACUACUGA
This 518-nucleotide ribosomal RNA is filed under the name uncultured bacterium. RNAcentral's name for it is "partial 16S ribosomal RNA". The record is from RNAcentral.